AUGCACUACAAGUUCACACAGCAGGUUUGGUUACUAUUUGGAGAUUGGACACGGGCGGAUUUUCAGGUGCCGGAGGAUCGUUUCAGCAAUAUGGAACACUGGUGGCUGCAAGCACGUAAGUUAGUUCCCAAGCCUAUGCAUUAGAACAUUGACACAAUCUCCAUCUUGAUUCACUUGAGCAUUUGGAAGGAAAGAAAUUCCAGAAUUUUUGAGCAGGAAGCGAGUAGUCCCUUCAGAGUUUUGGAUCUGAUUUGAGAAGAUAUUGGGACAUGGAGGGAGGCCGGUUGUGUUACUGACAUCGGCAACCUUUCUUGA
RNAcentral lists this ribosomal RNA (315 nucleotides) under Triticum aestivum (bread wheat). RNAcentral's name for it is "partial small subunit ribosomal RNA". Lineage: Eukaryota; Viridiplantae; Streptophyta; Magnoliopsida; Poales; Poaceae. The record is from RNAcentral.